UACAGAGGGAGCUAGCGUUGUUCGGAAUUACUGGGCGUAAAGGGCGCGUAGGCGGUUUUUCGCGUUACAUGUGAAAGCCCUGGGCUUAACCUAGGACGUGCAUGUGAUACGGGAGAACUAGAGGACAGGAGAGGAAAGCGGAAUUCCAAGUGUAGAGGUGAAAUUCGUAGAUAUUUGGAAGAACAUCAGUGGCGAAGGCGGCUUUCUGGACUGUAUCUGGCGCUGAGGCGCGAAAGCGUGGGGAGCAAACAGGAUUAGAAACCCCAGUAGU
Molecule: ribosomal RNA, 271 nt
Filed under: uncultured bacterium
Lineage: Bacteria
Description: partial 16S ribosomal RNA
Rfam family: Bacterial small subunit ribosomal RNA
Source: RNAcentral